CCCUUAGAUGUCCUGGGCCGCACGCGCGCUACACUGAUGCAUUCAACGAGUUUUUCCUUGGCCGAGAGGCCUGGGCAAUCUUUUGAACGUGCAUCGUGAUAGGGAUAGACUAUUGCAAUUAUUAAUCUUGAACGAGGAAUUCCUAGUAAACGCAGAUCAUCAAUCUGCAUUGAUUACGUCCCUGCCCUUUGUACACACCGCCCGUCGCACCUACCGAUUGAAUGGUCCGGUGAAGCCUCGGGAUUGUGGCGAGUUCCCUUUAUUGGGAGUUUGUCGCGAGAACUUGUCUAAACCUUAUCAUUUAGAGGAAGGUGAAGUCGUAACA
Molecule: ribosomal RNA, 325 nt
Filed under: uncultured eukaryote
Lineage: Eukaryota
Description: partial 18S ribosomal RNA
Rfam family: Eukaryotic small subunit ribosomal RNA
Source: RNAcentral